GAUGAACGCUGGCGGCGUGCCUAAUACAUGCAAGUCGAGCGAACAGACGAGGAGCUUGCUCCUCUGACGUUAGCGGCGGACGGGUGAGUAACACGUGGAUAACCUACCUAUAAGACUGGGAUAACUUCGGGAAACCGGAGCUAAUACCGGAUAAUAUAUUGAACCGCAUGGUUCAAUAGUGAAAGACGGUCUUGCUGUCACUUAUAGAUGGAUCCGCGCCGCAUUAGCUAGUUGGUAAGGUAACGGCUUACCAAGGCAACGAUGCGUAGCCGACCUGAGAGGGGGGAUCGGCCCCCCGGGACCUGAGCCCCGGCCCAGCCCCCAACGGGAGGCACCGGUAGGGAAUCUUCCGCAAGGGGCGAAAGCCUGACGGAGCAACGCCGCGGGGGUGAUGAGGGUCUUCGGUUCGUAAAACUCUGUUAUUAGGGAAAAACAAAUGUGUAAGUAACUAUGCACGUCUUGCCGGAACCAAAUCAGAAGGCCCCGGCAACCUACUU
This 497-nucleotide ribosomal RNA is filed under the name uncultured bacterium. Its description in RNAcentral is "partial 16S ribosomal RNA". It matches the Rfam family "Bacterial small subunit ribosomal RNA", at positions 28 to 506 of the family's 1533-position model. The record is from RNAcentral.